RNAcentral lists this ribosomal RNA (530 nucleotides) under uncultured bacterium. RNAcentral describes it as "bacterial SSU rRNA". It matches the Rfam family "Bacterial small subunit ribosomal RNA", at positions 521 to 1040 of the family's 1533-position model. The record is from RNAcentral.
UAAUACGAAGGGCCCGAGCGUUAAUCGGAAUCACUGGGCUUAAAGCGUGCGCAGGCGGACCAGUAAGUAUCUUGUGAAAUCCCUCGGCUCAACCGAGGAACUGCUUGGUAUACUGCUGGUCUUGAGCGUGGUAAAGGCGGUCGGAACGAUAGGUGGAGCGGUGAAAUGCGUAGAUAUCUAUCGGAACGCCGAAGGUGAAGACAGGCCGCUGGGCCACUGCUGACGCUCAGGCACGAAAGCGUGGGGAGCGAACGGGAUUAGAUACCCCGGUAGUCCACGCCCUAAACGAUGUGCACUGGGUCCGGGAAGUACUGACGCUCUCCGGAUCGAAGGAAAACCAUUAAGUGCACCGCCUGGGGAGUACGGUCGCAAGGCUAAAACUCAAAUGAUUUNGGACGGGGGCUCACACAAGCGGUGGAGCAUGUGGCUUAAUUCGAAGCAACGCGAAGAACCUUAUCCUGGAAUUGACAUGUAUGAAUUAGCGUAUGGAAACAUGCGUGACGCGGCUUGCCGUGGAACAUACACAGGUG